RNAcentral lists this transfer-messenger RNA (306 nucleotides) under Bacteroides sp. RNAcentral describes it as "partial transfer-messenger RNA". It matches the Rfam family "transfer-messenger RNA", at positions 1 to 275 of the family's 374-position model. From Rfam's summary of the family: Bacterial tmRNA, also known as 10Sa RNA or SsrA, is named for its dual tRNA and mRNA-like properties. Its role is to liberate the mRNA from a stalled ribosome. To accomplish this part of the tmRNA is used as a reading frame that ends in a translation stop signal. The record is from RNAcentral. Lineage: Bacteria; Pseudomonadati; Bacteroidota; Bacteroidia; Bacteroidales; Bacteroidaceae.
GGGGUUGUUUGGAUUUGACAGCGGGCAGAAAUGGUAUGUAAGCAUGCAGUGCGUCGGUGAUUAGCACUAUAAUCACAGUUACCGAACAAUUAUCUGGCGAAAACAACUACGCUCUCGCUGCUUAAUCGAAGCAUAGUAGAUUAACUUUAUUUCUGCACAAGGUGCGGAAACGAGACAUCACUCGGAAGCUGUUGCUCCGAAGCAUUCCGGUUCAGUGGUGCAGUUACAUCGGGGAUAGUUCGUACUUGCCUCGGAGUGCGAAUGAAACUUUAGAGGAUAAGGUAACGGUUGAUGGCUUUGGUUCUG